ACCAGGAGCACAGCUGGGUAGCUAAGUCGGGAAUGGAUAAACGCUGAAAGCAUCUAAGCGUGAAGCCAACCUCAAGAUGAGAUUUCCCAUAGCGUAAGCUAGUAAGAUCCCUUGAAGAACACAAGGUUGAUAGGUCGGGGGUGUAAGCAUGGUAACAUGUUCAGCUGACCGAUACUAAUAGAUCGAGGGCUUGACCAA
Molecule: ribosomal RNA, 198 nt
Filed under: Clostridium perfringens F262
Lineage: Bacteria; Bacillati; Bacillota; Clostridia; Eubacteriales; Clostridiaceae
Description: partial 23S ribosomal RNA
Rfam family: Bacterial large subunit ribosomal RNA
Source: RNAcentral